GAUGAACGCUAGCGGCAGGCUUAACACAUGCAAGUCGAGGGGUAUGCCGAUUUAUCGGCAGAGACCGGCGCACGGGUGCGUAACGCGUAUGCAAUCUACCUUUCACAGAGGGAUAGCCCAGAGAAAUUUGGAUUAAUACCUCAUAGUAUAGCAGUUUCGCAUGAAACCACUAUUAAAGUCACAACGGUGAAAGAUGAGCAUGCGUCCCAUUAGCUAGUUGGUAAGGUAACGGCUUACCAAGGCAACGAUGGGUAGGGGUCCUGAGAGGGAGAUCCCCCACACUGGUACUGAGACACGGACCAGACUCCUACGGGAGGCAGCAGUGAGGAAUAUUGGACAAUGGGCGCAAGCCUGAUCCAGCCAUGCCGCGUGCAGGAUGACGGUCCUAUGGAUUGUAAACUGCUUUUAUACAGGAAGAAACACUACUUCGUGAAGUAGCUUGACGGUACUGUAAGAAUAAGGAUCGGCUAACUCCGUGCCAG
This 482-nucleotide ribosomal RNA is filed under the name uncultured bacterium. Its description in RNAcentral is "bacterial SSU rRNA". It matches the Rfam family "Bacterial small subunit ribosomal RNA", at positions 28 to 511 of the family's 1533-position model. The record is from RNAcentral.